AUUGAACGCUGGCGGAAUGCUUUACACAUGCAAGUCGAACGGCAGCACGGGGCAACCUGGUGGCGAGUGGCGAACGGGUGAGUAAUACAUCGGAACGUGCCCAAUCGUGGGGGAUAACGUAGCGAAAGCUACGCUAAUACCGCAUACGAUCUACGGAUGAAAGCGGGGGAUCGCAAGACCUCGCGCGAAUGGAGCGGCCGAUGGCAGAUUAGGUAGUUGGUGGGGUAAAGGCUCACCAAGCCUGCGAUCUGUAGCGGGUCUGAGAGGAUGAUCCGCCACACUGGAACUGAGACACGGUCCAGACUCCUACGGGAGGCAGCAGUGGGGAAUUUUGGACAAUGGGCGCAAGCCUGAUCCAGCCAUGCCGCGUGAGUGAAGAAGGCCU
This 385-nucleotide ribosomal RNA is filed under the name uncultured bacterium. Its description in RNAcentral is "bacterial SSU rRNA". It matches the Rfam family "Bacterial small subunit ribosomal RNA", at positions 29 to 417 of the family's 1533-position model. The record is from RNAcentral.